Molecule: ribosomal RNA, 711 nt
Filed under: uncultured Trichococcus sp.
Lineage: Bacteria; Bacillati; Bacillota; Bacilli; Lactobacillales; Carnobacteriaceae
Description: bacterial SSU rRNA
Rfam family: Bacterial small subunit ribosomal RNA
Source: RNAcentral
UUCUAUGGAAGCUUGCUUCCACUGAGAAGAUAGUGGCGAACGGGUGAGUAACACGUGGGUAACCUGCCCAUAAGAGGGGGAUAACAUCCGGAAACGGGUGCUAAUACCGCAUAGUUUUCUUGAUCGCAUGAUUGAGAAAGGAAAGACGGCCUUUGUGCUGUCGCUUAUGGAUGGACCCGCGGCGUAUUAGUUAGUUGGUGAGGUAAUGGCUCACCAAGACGAUGAUACGUAGCCGACCUGAGAGGGUGAUCGGCCACAUUGGGACUGAGACACGGCCCAAACUCCUACGGGAGGCAGCAGUAGGGAAUCUUCCGCAAUGGACGAAAGUCUGACGGAGCAACGCCGCGUGAGUGAAGAAGGUUUUCGGAUCGUAAAACUCUGUUGUCAGAGAAGAACAAGUUGGAGAGUAACUGCUCCAGCCUUGACGGUAUCUGACCAGAAAGCCACGGCUAACUACGUGCCAGCAGCCGCGGUAAUACGUAGGUGGCAAGCGUUGUCCGGAUUUAUUGAGCGUAAAGCGAGCGCAGGCGGUUCCUUAAGUCUGAUGUGAAAGCCCACGGCUCAACCGUGGAAGGUCAUUGGAAACUGGGGAACUUGAGUGCAGAAGAGGAGAGUGGAAUUCCAUGUGUAGCGGUGAAAUGCGUAGAUAUAUGGAGGAACACCAGUGGCGAAGGCGACUCUCUGGUCUGUAACUGACGCUGAGGCUCGAAA